RNAcentral lists this ribosomal RNA (455 nucleotides) under Dactylonectria estremocensis. RNAcentral describes it as "eukaryotic LSU rRNA". The stretch from base 101 to 254 matches the Rfam family "5.8S ribosomal RNA". Lineage: Eukaryota; Fungi; Ascomycota; Sordariomycetes; Hypocreales; Nectriaceae. The record is from RNAcentral.
UAUUGUUGCCUCGGCGGUGCCUGUUCCGACAGCCCGCCAGAGGACCCCAAACCCUGAUUACAUUUAAGAAGUCUUCUGAGUAACCGAUUAAAUAAAUCAAAACUUUCAACAACGGAUCUCUUGGUUCUGGCAUCGAUGAAGAACGCAGCGAAAUGCGAUAAGUAAUGUGAAUUGCAGAAUUCAGUGAAUCAUCGAAUCUUUGAACGCACAUUGCGCCCGCUAGUAUUCUGGCGGGCAUGCCUGUUCGAGCGUCAUUUCAACCCUCAAGCCCCCGGGCUUGGUGUUGGGGAUCGGCGAGCCUCCGCGCCCGCCGUCCCCCAAAUCUAGUGGCGGUCUCGCUGUAGCUUCCUCUGCGUAGUAGCACACCUCGCACUGGGAAACAGCGCGGCCACGCCGUUAAACCCCCAACUUCUGAAAGUUUGACCUCGGAUCAGGUAGGAAUACCCGCUGAACUU